GGAUGGGUGGCUGAGUGGUCGAAAGCAACGGUCUUGAAAACCGUCGUAUCGCAAGGUACCGUGGGUUCGAAUCCCACCCCAUCCGCCA
RNAcentral lists this transfer RNA (88 nucleotides) under Magnetococcales bacterium. RNAcentral describes it as "tRNA-Ser". It matches the Rfam family "tRNA". From Rfam's summary of the family: Transfer RNA (tRNA) molecules are approximately 80 nucleotides in length. Their secondary structure includes four short double-helical elements and three loops (D, anti-codon, and T loops). The record is from RNAcentral. Lineage: Bacteria; Pseudomonadati; Pseudomonadota; Magnetococcia; Magnetococcales.